This 253-nucleotide ribosomal RNA is filed under the name uncultured bacterium. Its description in RNAcentral is "partial 16S ribosomal RNA". It matches the Rfam family "Bacterial small subunit ribosomal RNA", at positions 524 to 776 of the family's 1533-position model. The record is from RNAcentral.
UACGGAGGGGACUAGCGUUGUUCGGAAUUACUGGGCGUAAAGCGCACGUAGGCGGCUUUGUAAGUCAGGUGUGAAAUCCCGGGGCUCAACCUCGGAACUGCCUUUGAUACUGCAAAUCUCGAGUCCGGAAGAGGUGAGUGGAAUUCCUAGUGUAGAGGUGAAAUUCGUAGAUAUUAGGAAGAACACCAGUGGCGAAGGCGGCUCACUGGUCCGGUACUGACGCUGAGGUGCGAAAGCGUGGGGAGCAAACAGG